GAGUGUGGUAGAAAAAAAAAAAAAAAAAAAAAAAAAAAA
Molecule: non-coding RNA, 39 nt
Filed under: Prorocentrum micans
Lineage: Eukaryota; Dinophyceae; Prorocentrales; Prorocentraceae
Source: RNAcentral